CACCCGAAAACCCUAAAUCCAUCUGCGCCUCCCUCCAUCUCUGGAUUUCUCUGGCUCGCCUCUCGUUGCUCUCCCUCGCCUUAGCUCUCGCCCUCACCCUCGCCCUCGCCCUCGAUCUCGCCCUAGUUCUCGCCCUUGCCCUCGCCCUCGCCCUAGAUCUCGCGGCUCGCCCUCGCCCUCGCUCACUAGUUUUCCCUCUCCUUCGCCCUCAUCCUCCAUCUCGUGGCUCGAGCUCGCCUUAGCUCUCUCUCUCGCUCAUUGGCUCUCCCUCGCCCUCGAGCUCGCCCUAGCUCUCGCCCUCGCUCACUGGCUAGCCCUCGCCCUCGCCCUUGAUCCCGCGACUAGCACUCGCCCUCGAUCUCGCGGCUCGGCCUCGCCCUCGCCCCUCGCUCACUAGUUUGCCCUCUCCUUCGCCCUCACCCUCCAUCUCGUGGCUCGAGCUCGCCUUAGCUCUCUCCCUCGCUCAUUGGCUCUCCCUCGCCCUAGCUCUUGCCCUCGCUCACUAGCUAGACCUCGCCCUCGCUCACUGGCUCGCCCUCACCCUCGAUCUCGCGGCUCGGCCUCGCCCUUGCCCUCGCCCUCGCUCUCGCCUAUCGCGGCUAGCCCUCACCCUCGCUCUCUGGGUCGCCCUCGCCUGCCGUCGCACCAAACAGUAUUUCCCCCUCACUUAGAUCAGUAGAUCCUAGUCCUACGAUACCAACUCCAUUACAAGGUGCAUGAUCCAAUGAAUGAGAUUAAUGAUCAACAAAUACGUGACAUGUCAUGGGGGCCCUUGAGAAUGGUGCGCACAUGGCCUAUGUACAUCAUCAAUGGGUAUAAGUUUCACACAGAUUCAUGGAGUCAAGGCAAGUCAACAAGAAACAACGGAGUUUGCACUAGAGGGUCAGUAUAUGGGCAACCCGAAGAUGACUAUUAUGGUAUACUUCAAGAGGUAAUCCAAUUAGAAUACCUGGGAUUACCAAUCAAACAAGUGGUGCUAUUUAAUUGCACAUGGGUCGACCCAACCCCUAGACGUGGGACUCGAAUACAUGAUCAAUAUGGAAUAGUCGAGGUCAGAGCUAACAGAAGGUACAAUGGGUAUGAUCCUUUUAUACUUGCCUCUUAAGCGCAUCAGGUUUAUUAUGCUCCGUAUCCAUCUCGACAACGAAAUUUCGUAGACUGGUGGGUGGUUAUUCGAGCUAAGGCUAGGAGCAUAGUUCACGCCCCAACUAUCGACAGACAAAGGGAUGCAUAUCAGGCAGAUGAGGAAAUGCCAGUGCAGCCGGCUACAAUUGUAAAUGAACAACUCAACACCCUUAGAGAUGAAGUUGGUGAAUUCGAAUUUGUGGAUGAGCACUCAUUUGAUCAGAACCUUGUUGCGGGUGAUGAGGAGGUAGACGUUGAAGAAGUCGAAGAUGAGGAUGAUGAUGAGGACGAAGAUGAGGAUGAAGAUGAGGAGGAUGAAGAUGAGCAGUCAGACGACACGGAAUAGCUACAUAGGAUAUGUCACAAAGAACACCAUAUGGUCAGGGUAUGUGACGUCGUCAGUUUAGAGAGAGUGCAGGAGAGGACCACAUUGGGGGACAUUCAUCUUCUUCUGAUGUGAGAUUUGAUUCCCCUAGCCCACAUACACCUCAAUCCUACACUGAUGGGCCUUCUUCCACGCCCACUGAGGUUGGGGGUUCAUCAACGCCCCCUGUCCCACCUCAAAACCAUAUGAUGAUAUGUCCCUUAGGUUCCUCGUUUGAUAACAUUUGGUGCAAAUGAGAUAUAACACGAAUAAUUCAAAGUAAGUUUGAGAAGCCAUACACGAGUUGGAAAAAGACAGACCCUACAGUCAGGGAUAUGUGGUUUGGCGAAUUUAAGAAGAAUUGGUCUUGGGAGAGUGACUUGAAAAAUCAAAUAAGGAUAAAUUUUGAAAAGACGGCCUCUGAUCGUUUGACUGACCUUUUGUUCCGUGUGAGGAGGGACUUGCCAAAAAAACCAUUUUGAAUGUGUCCUGUUGUAUUUGAAGCACUUAAGGAGUAUUGGAAUACUCCAUAAUUUAAAAACAAAUCAGAAAAGGCUAAGAAAAAUCGGUCUUCAGAUGUCGGAGGUAGUAAGCAUACAUGUGGUUUCAUCCCUAAGUCUGAACAUAAGAAGAGACUGGUAAUAUUUGAUAUUUUUUGUUAUUUUCAUUAUACUUAAUUACUUAAAUAUGGUUGUAUGAACACUUUAUUUUUUCCUUUGCAGUCUAAGCUACUUGGUCGCCCACCUACACAGGCUGAGUUAUUUAUUGCGAUGCAUCAAAGAAAAGAUAAAUCGGGAUUCGUUGACAGUAAAUCUGAGGAAACUUAUGCUGACUUCCAGAUGCGCCAACAUGAUGCAUCAUCACAAUCAUCAGCAGUUGGCCCGACAGAAGAUAGUGACGUUGCUAGACAGCCCUCGCAGCCAGCUUUUGAUGAGACAUCAUUAUGGUUGGAGGUUGCAGGCGGGAAAAAGAAGGGUCGUGUAUAUGGGAUGGGGUCAGAAGCAUACGUUAUCCCUGGUUCCUAUCAUAUGUUGUCACCAUCGCCACCACCUCCACAUUCGUCGUCCAUCUCACUUGCUGACCAAAUUCAACAAGCUGUUAGCGCAGCUAUACAACCAUUGACCCAUCGUUUGUCAGCUAUAGAAGAAAGAUUACAUAAUCCUUUUUCUUCGCCACCGCCCUCAAAUCCUUCGGAUCAUUAGGAGGAUCUGUCAUUGCCAUGGAUAGAUAUUACAUUGUAUUAUUUUUAUUGUUCAUGGACGAUGUGUUUUAUUAAUAUUGUAUGGAUUUCCUGUAUGAAUUUAAUAUUAUAUGGAUUUCUUGUAUGAAUUUAAUAUUGUAUGGAUUUAA
Molecule: RNA transcript, 2839 nt
Organism: Diospyros lotus (date-plum)
Lineage: Eukaryota; Viridiplantae; Streptophyta; Magnoliopsida; Ericales; Ebenaceae
Exons: 7
Source: RefSeq, a predicted model, not a curated record